AGGCAGCAGGCGCGCAAAUUACCCACUCUCGGCAAGAGGAGGUAGUGACGAAAAAUAACGAGACCGUACUCUUUGAGGCCGGUUAUCGGAAUGGGUACAAUUUAAACCCGUUAACGAGGAUCUAUGAGAGGGCAAGUCUGGUGCCAGCAGCCGCGGUAAUUCCAGCUCUCAAAGUGUAUAUCGUCAUUGCUGCGGUUAAAAAGCUCGUAGUUGGAUCUGCGCCUCAGGACUUGGUCCGCCCACUGGGCGAGAACUAGGCUCCUGGGCUAGUUCUGCUGGUUUUCUCUACGUUGCCUUCAUCGGUCGCGUAGGGUGGCUAGCGAGUUUACUUUGAAAAAAUUAGAGUGCUUCACGCGAGCUUAUGUCUGAAUACUCGUGCAUGGAAUAAUAGAAUAGGAUCUCGGUUCUAUUUUGUUGGUUUUCUGAUCUGAGAUAAUGGUUAAGAGGGACGGACGGGGGCAUUCGUAUCGCUGCGUGAGAGGUGAAAUUCUUGGACCGUAGCGAGACGCCCGACUGCGAAAGCAUUUGCCAAGAAUGUCUUCAUUAAUCAAGAACGAAAGUCAGAGGUUCGAAGGCGAUCAGAUACCGCCCUAGUUCUGACCGUAAACGAUACCAACUAGCGUUCCGUCGGCGGUAAAUACGCCUUGACGGGCAGCUUCCCGGAAACGAAAGUCUUUCGGUUCCGGGGGAAGUAUGGUUGCAAAGCUGAAACUUAAAGAAAUUGACGGAAGGGCACCACCAGGAGUGGAGCCUGCGGCUUAAUUUGACUCAACACGGGAAAACUCACCUGGCCCGGACACCGUGAGGAUUGACAGAUUGAGAGCUCUUUCUUGAUUCGGUGGUUGGUGGUGCAUGGCCGUUCUUAGUUGGUGGAGUGAUUUGUCUGGUUUAUUCCGAUAACGAGCGAGACUCUAGCCUACUAAAUAGUCAUCGGAUAAACCAGUCCGAAAGACUUCUUAGAGGGACAAGCGGUGUUCAGCCGCAUGAAGUUGAGCAAUAACAGGUCUGUGAUGCCCUUAGAUGUCCAGGGCUGCACGCGCGCUACACUGGAGGAAUCAGCGUGCUGUAACCAUUGCCGAAAGGUAUUGGUAACCCCUUGAAAAUCCUCCGUGAUCGGGAUCGGGAAUUGCAAUUAUUUCCCUUGAACGAGGAAUUCCUAGUAAGUG
This 1166-nucleotide ribosomal RNA is filed under the name Contracaecum eudyptulae. RNAcentral's name for it is "SSU rRNA". It matches the Rfam family "Eukaryotic small subunit ribosomal RNA", at positions 423 to 1623 of the family's 1831-position model. Lineage: Eukaryota; Metazoa; Nematoda; Chromadorea; Rhabditida; Anisakidae. The record is from RNAcentral.